AGAGCGAACGCUGGCGGCAUGCCUAAUACAUGCAAGUCGAACGAACUCUUCGGAGUUAGUGGCGCACGGGUGCGUAACGCGUGGGAAUCUGCCCUUGGGUUCGGAAUAACAGUUGGAAACGACUGCUAAUACCGGAUGAUGACGAAAGUCA
This 151-nucleotide ribosomal RNA is filed under the name uncultured soil bacterium. Its description in RNAcentral is "partial 16S ribosomal RNA". It matches the Rfam family "Bacterial small subunit ribosomal RNA", at positions 26 to 202 of the family's 1533-position model. The record is from RNAcentral.